RNAcentral lists this ribosomal RNA (483 nucleotides) under uncultured bacterium. RNAcentral's name for it is "partial 16S ribosomal RNA". It matches the Rfam family "Bacterial small subunit ribosomal RNA", at positions 28 to 507 of the family's 1533-position model. The record is from RNAcentral.
GACGAACGCUGGCGGCGUGCUUAACACAUGCAAGUCGAACGCUGAAGCUCAGCUUUUGUUGGGUGGAUGAGUGGCGAACGGGUGAGUAACACGUGAGUAACCUGCCUCCUUCUUUGGGAUAACGCCCGGAAACGGGUGCUAAUACUGGAUAUUCACUGGUCUUCGCAUGGGGGUUGGUGGAAAGGGUUUUUCUGGUGGGGGAUGGGCUCGCGGCCUAUCAGCUUGUUGGUGGGGUGAUGGCCUACCAAGGCUUUGACGGGUAGCCGGCCGGAGAGGGUGACCGGUCACAUUGGGGCUGAGAUACGGCCCAGACUCCUACGGGAGGCAGCAGUGGGGAAUAAUGCACAAUAGGCGCAAGACUGAUGCAGCGACGCCGCGUGAGGGAUGGAGGCCUUCGGGUUGUGAACCUCUUUCGCUCAUGGUCAAGCCGCAACAAUAGUUGUGGUGAGGGUAGUGGGUAAAGAAGCGCCGGCUAACUACGUG